Corylus avellana is the source of this 1946-nucleotide RNA transcript. RefSeq lists it as uncharacterized. Lineage: Eukaryota; Viridiplantae; Streptophyta; Magnoliopsida; Fagales; Betulaceae. The record is from RefSeq and is a predicted model, not a curated record.
CUAUACAUGCAUAAUAUCUCAUUCUUUUCUCUCACGCCUCCCUCAGCCUCACUCUCGUCUCACGUUGUCACGCAGCCUCCAAACUUCCAAAGCCCUAGCCGCCGCUUCUUCAUUUUCCCUUCGCCGCUCCCGCUCAGCCGUGCUUAGCGUCCACCGGAGCUCCGAUCACCAGAUCAAUUCCGAGUUCCGGCUUCCCACCGAAUCAAGCUCUCUCUCUCUCUCUCUCUCUCUCUGUCUCAGCCAUACACGUAAGCCUUUCCCUCACCUUCUUAUUCCCACCAAAUUCACGCCGCUCCCCUAACUCGAGAAACAAUCCCUCUUCUUCUCUUUCCCAAAUCUUAUCCUUCCUUCACUAUGGAUGAAUUCAUGCCAAAUAGCAGAAGAAGAAAAUACUACUCCAUUGAUGAAUUCAUGCCAAAUAUUAGAAGAAGAGUAUACUCUGGAAGCACCAAGACUUCCUUGGCCGAUGCUUCUAAGACUCCGACCACACUACCGGUACAGGAGCCCUCUCCGUCACCAACCGAAAUUCUAUAUAAUCUCCCACCCAAAUUUUCUUACGACAUCUUUUUCAGUGCGGAACUUCUCUGCUCCACCGACGAUGAAGAUAGUGACGAUGAAGAUUGUGACGAUGAAGAUAGUGACGGGGAAUUUGACGAUUCGAACUGGUAUAAGAUCCAUAUUCAUGCCGAUGGUCCUGCCGAGUUAUACCCAGAACCGGUCCUUGCAUGUUGGGCAGGAAAACUUCCCAACGACGUUGGCUUUGCAGCCCUAGGCUCCCAUAUAUACAGAUUUGGUGGGGCGACUAAUAGUCUGUCGGGAAUGGGCAUUCGGGACGUGUAUAAAUUACAGGUUUUUCCAUGUGUCGCCAAUGAUUGGGUGCCUGUUUCUCCUAUGUUAUCUCCGAGAAUUUGCCCUUAUGUUUCGGUUUUAGGGAAUAAGAUUUUUGUUUGCAAUUAUUUUAAUUAUUAUGAUGAGGAUGAACUUUCUGAUUCUGACGAACUUUCUGAUUCUGAUAGUUUUCCUUGGGGUGAGGUUUUUGAUCCCGUAAAUGAAAAAUGGGAAGCCAUCCCUAAUCCUCCGUUUCUUCCAUUUUGGAGAUAUGGAGUCAUAGCUCUCGAGAAUCCAGACAGGAUUCUGGUCUAUCUCCUUGAUAGAGGUAGCGAUGAUCAUAGCGAUGAUGAUAGCAAUAGCAAUAGCGAUAGCGAUGAUGAUAGCAAUAGCAAAAGCAAUAGCGAUAGCAGUUGUGAUAGGCUCUAUUUGUAUAACAUGCAGCAUGGAGGAUCUUGGACGCAUCUGACUCGGAGUUUCGGUCCCUCCCCUUUUAUCUGGGAAGCAAGCGUAAUUGUAGGUAAUACUAUAUACUGGGUCGGACUCGAUCUCAAAGAUGAGAUUCAAUUGUUUGCCUACAAUAUUGACUUGGAUAUGUGUCUAGAUGCACCUCUUAAAGUUGUGGGAAUGGAUCUGUGUCUAGAAGGAUGUCUUAAAGAUUUGGUGGCAAUAAAUGAUGUUGUUGCCUUCAUCCAUAUGGAGAAUCAAAGGUUCUGCUUCUUAAAACGGGAAGUACUUGAUCAUUAUCUUUACUGUGUUAUAGCUGAUGUUUCUCAGAUCCCCGAGAGGAAGACUUUAAAUAUAUCGGUGGUGUGGAAAAAAAAAUAUGCCAUGGAAUCCGCUAAAUUGUCAAAUUUGCUUGUACUUGCUAAUGGGUGUUAAACUUGCGGGCGCAAUGGAGCAGAUUAUGGAGCAGAUUAUGGGCAGAUUGUGGCUUAAUAUGUUAGGAGCCAUAGAGAUGUUGAAGCAAUUCAGAGUGUGGCCAUACAAGGAAGGAUUGUUGCUGCUCUUUUAUUUGUUUACUUAAAUUGUAUGCUGUUCAUUGGUGACAGAAUCUGUUCACCCCUCUUUGGUGUAAUUACUUAUUUAAGAAGAAUAGACAAUGAUCUGUUCACCCC